CAGUCGCCGCGGGAAUACAGAGGAUGCAAGCGUUAUCCGGAGUGAUUGGGCGUAAAGCGUCUGUAGGUGGCUUUUCGAGUCCGCCGUCAAAUCCCAGGGCUCAACCCUGGACAGGCGGUGGAAACUACCAAGCUGGAGUACGAUAGGGGCAGAGGGAAUUUCCGGUGGAGCGGUGAAAUGCGUUGAGAUCGGAAAGAGCACCAACGGCGAAAGCACUCUGCUGGGCCGACACUGACACUGAGAGACGAAAGCUAUGGGAGCAAAUGGGAUUAGAUACCCCUGUAGUCCCUGUCUCUUAUAC
Molecule: ribosomal RNA, 301 nt
Filed under: uncultured bacterium
Lineage: Bacteria
Description: partial 16S ribosomal RNA
Rfam family: Bacterial small subunit ribosomal RNA
Source: RNAcentral